This 528-nucleotide ribosomal RNA is filed under the name uncultured Beauveria. RNAcentral's name for it is "eukaryotic LSU rRNA". The stretch from base 174 to 327 matches the Rfam family "5.8S ribosomal RNA". The record is from RNAcentral. Lineage: Eukaryota; Fungi; Ascomycota; Sordariomycetes; Hypocreales; Cordycipitaceae.
AGGGAUCAUUACCGAGUUUUCAACUCCCUAACCCUUAUGUGAACCUACCUAUUGUUGCUUCGGCGGACUCGCCCCAGCCGGACGCGGACUGGACCAGCGGCCGCCGGGGACCCUCAAACUCUUGUAUUAUCAGCAUCUUCUGAAUACGCCGCAAGGCAAAACAAAUAAAUCAAAACUUUCAACAACGGAUCUCUUGGCUCUGGCAUCGAUGAAGAACGCAGCGAAAUGCGAUAAGUAAUGUGAAUUGCAGAAUCCAGUGAAUCAUCGAAUCUUUGAACGCACAUUGCGCCCGCCAGCAUUCUGGCGGGCAUGCCUGUUCGAGCGUCAUUUCAACCCUCGACCUCCCUUUGGGGAAGUCGGCGUUGGGGACCGGCAGCACACCGCCGGCCCUGAAAUGGAGUGGCGGCCCGUCCGCGGCGACCUCUGCGUAGUAAUCCAACUCGCACCGGAACCCCGACGCGGCCACGCCGUAAAACACCCAACUUCUGAACGUUGACCUCGAAUCAGGUAGGACUACCCGCUGAACUU